UAGGUCCUACGGGGGGCAGCAGUGGGGAAUAUUGCACAAUGGGGGAAACCCUGAUGCAGCGACGCCGCGUGAGUGAAGAAGUAUUUCGGUAUGUAAAGCUCUAUCAGCAGGGAAGAAAAUGACGGUACCUGACCAAGAAGCCCCGGCUAACUACGUGCCAGCAGCCGCGGUAAUACGUAGGGGGCAAGCGUUAUCCGGAUUUACUGGGUGUAAAGGGAGCGUAGACGGCGGUGCAAGCCAGAUGUGAAAGCCCGGGGCUCAACCCCGGGACUGCAUUUGGAACUGUAUGGCUGGAGUGU
Molecule: ribosomal RNA, 299 nt
Filed under: uncultured bacterium
Lineage: Bacteria
Description: partial 16S ribosomal RNA
Rfam family: Bacterial small subunit ribosomal RNA
Source: RNAcentral